CAGUCGCCGCGGUAAUACGAAGGGGGCUAGCGUUGUUCGGAUUUACUGGGCGUAAAGGGUGCGUAGGCGGACUGAUAAGUCAGGGGUGAAAUCCCAAGGCUCAACCUUGGAACUGCCUUUGAUACUGUUAGUCUUGAGUUCGAGAGAGGUGAGUGGAACUGCGAGUGUAGAGGUGAAAUUCGUAGAUAUUCGCAGGAACACCAGUGGCGAAGGCGGCUCACUGGCUCGAAACUGACGCUGAGGCACGAAAGCGUGGGGGGCAAACAGGAUUAGAUACCCCAGUAGUCCCUGUCUCUUAUAC
This 301-nucleotide ribosomal RNA is filed under the name uncultured bacterium. RNAcentral describes it as "partial 16S ribosomal RNA". It matches the Rfam family "Bacterial small subunit ribosomal RNA", at positions 509 to 807 of the family's 1533-position model. The record is from RNAcentral.